RNAcentral lists this ribosomal RNA (445 nucleotides) under uncultured bacterium. RNAcentral's name for it is "partial 16S ribosomal RNA". It matches the Rfam family "Bacterial small subunit ribosomal RNA", at positions 354 to 796 of the family's 1533-position model. The record is from RNAcentral.
GUAGGGAAUAUUGGGCAAUGGAGGCAACUCUGACCCAGCCAUGCCGCGUGCAGGAUGACGGCCCUCUGGGUUGUAAACUGCUUUUAUACGGGAAGAAAAAAUACUACGUGUAGUAUACUGACGGUACCGUAAGAAUAAGGAUCGGCUAACUCCGUGCCAGCAGCCGCGGUAAUACGGAGGAUCCAAGCGUUGUCCGGAUUUAUUGGGUUUAAAGGGUGCGUAGGCGGAUCUUUAAGUCAGUGGUGAAAGCCUGCAGCUUAACUGUAGAAUUGCCAUUGAAACUGAAGAUCUUGAAUGUGGUUAAAGUAGGCGGAAUGUAUCAUGUAGCGGUGAAAUGCUUAGAUAUGAUACAGAACACCGAUAGCGAAGGCAUUGUACUGGCCGACAACUGACGCUGAUGCACGAAAGUGUGGGGAUCGAACAGGAUUAGAUACCCGAGUAGUCC